AACUGUUAUAUGUAGAGGGGGCUAGAGGAAGUAACAGAACUGUUAUAUGUAGAGGAUAAUAGAGGAAGUAACAGAACAGUUAUAUGUAGAGGAUAAUAGAGGAAGUAACAGAACAGUUAUAUGUAGAGGGUGCUAGAGGAAGUAACAGAACAGUUAUAUGUAGAGGGUGCCAGAGGAAGUUACAGAACAGUUAUAUGUAGAGGAUAAUAGAGGAAGUAACAGAACUGUUAUAUGUAGAGGAUAAUAGAGGAAGUAACAGAACAGUUAUAUGUAGAGGAUGCUAGAGGAAGUAACAGAACAAUUAUAUGUAGAGG
This 314-nucleotide long non-coding RNA is filed under the name Salmo salar (Atlantic salmon). RNAcentral describes it as "lncRNA (ENSSSAG00000098683.1, ENSSSAG00000106163.1)". The record is from RNAcentral. Lineage: Eukaryota; Metazoa; Chordata; Actinopteri; Salmoniformes; Salmonidae.